Molecule: unclassified non-coding RNA, 229 nt
Filed under: plant metagenome
Description: partial contains small subunit ribosomal RNA, internal transcribed spacer 1, and 5.8S ribosomal RNA
Source: RNAcentral
CCUCCGUAGGUGAACCUGCGGAGGGAUCAUUACAGAGUUCAUGCCCUACCGGGUAGAUCUCCCACCCUAUGUUAUUAUUACUUUGUUGCUUUGGCGGGCCGUUAGGCUCCGGCCCGACUACCGGCCCCGGCUGGUAAGCGCCCGCCAGAGGACCCAAAACCCUGAAUAUUAGUGUCGUCUGAGUACUAUAUAAUAGUUAAAACUUUCAACAACGGAUCUCUUGGUUCUG